ACAAUGGAGAGUUUGAUCCUGGCUCAGGAUGAACGCUAGCGGCAGGCUUAACACAUGCAAGUCGAGGGGCAGCGGGGAGUAGCAAUACUCCGCCGGCGACCGGCGCACGGGUGCGUAACGCGUAUGCAACCUACCUUUAACAGGGGCAUAACACUGAGAAAUUGGUACUAAUUCCCCAUAACAUUCGAGAAGGCAUCUUCUUGGGUUAAAAACUCCGGUGG
RNAcentral lists this ribosomal RNA (221 nucleotides) under Alistipes finegoldii. RNAcentral's name for it is "partial 16S ribosomal RNA". It matches the Rfam family "Bacterial small subunit ribosomal RNA", at positions 1 to 218 of the family's 1533-position model. Lineage: Bacteria; Pseudomonadati; Bacteroidota; Bacteroidia; Bacteroidales; Rikenellaceae. The record is from RNAcentral.